Molecule: non-coding RNA, 995 nt
Organism: Microcebus murinus (gray mouse lemur)
Lineage: Eukaryota; Metazoa; Chordata; Mammalia; Primates; Cheirogaleidae
Source: RefSeq, a predicted model, not a curated record
UCUGCCGCCCCCGCCUUGCUGCUAGAGGGUCCUGUAAUGACAGUGGGCCCGCCCGAUAGCUGAGGACGGUCUUCCUGUCUCAAGGUCCUUAGUUUAAUAAAUUCUGGAACAUGAGAACUCAAAGACAUCCUAAAAUCUAUUCUCUUCAGGUGUCUUGAACCCUGGCUUCCAAUGAGAUACGGUGGUUCAGAUGAAACCUGAGCACCACAACAUCUGCAGAGCAGGCGAGCACAAAGACCCCAAGCGAGGCGCUGUCAUAUUGCUGGCUGUGGCAUAGAGCUGCCUCAGCCCCGUGCUACAGCAGGCCCUGUUUCCCAUGCUAAAGACUGGAGAGGGCUAAGGUUAGUGAGACAGUGUAACUCACCAAGGUUGCUGUCCAGUUAAUGGUGCACAGUCAACCACUCUAGAGCUUAUUGGUAUACAACUACCAUUUUACUAAUCAUGAAGACUCUGUGGGCCAGGAAUUUUGGAUGGGCACAGUAGGGACAUGGUGUCUAGGGCUGAGGGGGGCUGUUGUCUGAGCUGUACUCUUUUGGAGAUGUCUUCACUUACACAUCUGGUAGCUGACGUAGCUGUUGGCUGGGCUCUUAGCUCAUCUCUUGGCAGGAACAGCCACACGUGGCUUGGCCCUGUGUUCUCUUUACAUGCGCUAGUCUGGGCUUUCUCACAGAGUGGUAGUGGGUGCCAAGAGUAAGCUCUCCAACCAAGCAAGGUGGAAGCGCAGGCCACUUUUGUGAUCAAGCCAUGGAAGUUAUAGGCGUCACUUUUGUCAUGCUCUGUUGUCUGAGCAAUCAUAAAGCUCUAUCAGGUUCAAGGGAGAAGACAUCUCACCAUUAAAGGAUGAACAUGAAGAUGCGGUGUGUUAAGAGCAUGGGGGAUGGGAGAUGUCACUGCAGCCAGCCCUGGAAAAUACAAUCUUCCAUAAUCACAGAAAUAGUAAGUAGCAGAAUAAGAAUUUUUUAAAAACCACUUUAUUGAAGUAUGAUUGGCAUACA